GGGGAUUUUAAAGGAGUGAUUACAUAUAUAUAGCAGCUUAUCAACUCAAAUAUAUGUAUCUCUUAUUCAAAACUGUGACAUUGCAGAACUGCAUUGCAAGACGAUCAUGUCCUUGCGUCUCAACUUCGAAAGAGAACCCAACCAGGUUUCACUCUUCCCAUUGAAAAUGUUUUAAUUUUGAUUAGAUUACACUUAUUCUCUAGCUAAGGCUUUUCAAAAUGAUGCUCACUUCAAUUUCCAUAUAUCAUGCUCUAUUAUAACCCAUAGUGUCAUAUUAUAUUUAGAGACUUUAGUUUUUUUGUUGUUACAUUUAGAGACUUUAGUUGACAAAACAAAACAAAAAAAAUAUUUUAAUUUAUUUUAUCUCUAAUUAUAAAAUGAAUUAUAUCAAGGGCUUUGUAUCGUUUAUGAUUGCAUGACGAGACUUCCUUACAGGUACAUUCCACAGGAAGUUCUUGUGUGAAGGCGGUGAUACUAAACAGACCUCAGAAGCUGAAUGCCCUUAAUCAUGAAAUGGUGAGUUAAAAAAAUUGAUUCCCUAAAACACUCUAAGCUUAUAGAGUUUACUAGUAAUUUACAAGGUCGUAAAAGUUAUAACCAUUAAUUAAUGGAGUUAUCUCUGUUGAGGGCUCAAGUGUUUUACUUAUCAAAAGAAUAUCACUCAACAUUUGCAUUCUGCAUAUAUCUGUUGAAGUUUUUUUUUUUUUUUGAAAUGACAUAGAUCUGUUGAAGUUAACAAUGAAUUAAUGUAAAAAAAAUACUAGUAAAAUAAAAACAAUACAAUUAAUUUUUAAGCUUCUUUUGAUGUUUUGCAGAUUUGUCAAAUCAAAAAGAAGUUAGAGCUAUAUGAGAAUGACUCUCCAGUCAAACUUGGAAUAUUGGAGGUAAAAGCUCCACGGAAUAUUUCUAAAUAAUAUUGUGGAUUGAAAGGAAUGGAUGUAGGGGUGCACAUGGACCGAGUCAACUCAAUAAAUUCAUUCAAUCCAUCUAAUUUGUUUGUAAUUACUUGUCAUAUUUAAAAACUUGAAGUAUUUGUUUAGUUAUGUGUUGUUGUAUAGAUGUGUGUAGACAGUAGUUAUGAACUUAUGAUGUAAUCGCAUGUUAGAGACUUUAAGUACUUGUUUUUUAAAAAUAUAUGAGAUAUAGUGAGACCCAAACAAAAGUAAAAUAAGCAACCGUGGUUGGAGUGAAUUCUGAUUGAGUUAUUUAAAUCCUAUGUGGCAGUUUGGACCCAUUAAAAUAGUCUUUAAGCAACCCAACUAACAACCUUGCAUUGGAGCUAACUCCGAAAAGUGUGGUUCCAAUGCCUCGCCUCUACAUGUUUCUUUCAAUUUUUCAAUUUAUUGCUUAAAUUAUUAGGACUUGUCCAAAAAAAAAUACUUUUACUAAUUGCCAAUUGGAAUUUGGAAAUUGGAAUUACAAGAAACACUGACACGUGUAUUAUUUUAUAAGUAAUUGUUAACGGAGUUAACCCGGCCCAUUCUAAUCAGAUUUUCAACAUUAGCACAAGAGCAGAUAGGAUGGAGACAAGUCUCAACAAGCAGGGCAGCAGAGAUUACUUGCUCUGAUAACAACUGAAACUUUUCCUAUUCGUGUAGCCAGGAGGAAUACUUGCCCCAUUAGCAUGCCAUAUCGCGAGGUGGGGUCAAAGCCGGGUCGAAGAUCCCUGACUGCUAAAUAUGCUAGAGAAAGCAAUUAGCCCAACAAUCCUUGUGACUGACCCACGACUACAAAGCCAGCAGACCAAACAUCUUUGCCUCCGAAACCAGGAGUUCCAGAAGGGUUUGCCUUUCUAGUUGAAUAGAAUAAUUCUGGUACUUCCNNNNN
RNAcentral lists this long non-coding RNA (1827 nucleotides) under Lotus japonicus. Its description in RNAcentral is "long non-coding RNA (LJAP_LNC001611)". Lineage: Eukaryota; Viridiplantae; Streptophyta; Magnoliopsida; Fabales; Fabaceae. The record is from RNAcentral.